UUACAAAUAAAAACAAAAAUUUUUAUUCUUUUAUUUUAUUGGGUACAAUAUACCUCACAUAAAAUUUGCAUUUGAACCAUUUUUAAGUGUAAAGUUCAGUGGUAUUAAGCACAUACUGUUUUGCAGUAUCACCACCAUCCAUCUACAGAAUUUUUUUUUUAUCUUUCCAAACAGAAAUUCUGUAACCAUGGAACAUUAACUCCCCAUUCCUACUCCCCCAGCCCCUGGCCACCACUUUUACUUUCUGUCUCUAUGAGUUUCACCACUUAAUGGUGUGUCACAGAAGUGGAAUCACACUGUAUUUGUUCUUUUGUGUUGGGCUUAUUGCACUUAGCAUAAUGCCUUCAAGAUUCAGUAGUAUUGUAGCCUGCAUCAGAAUUUCCUUUUGAAGGCUGAAUAAUAUUCCGUUGUAUGUAUUUACCCCAAAAUGAGCAAAAAAACACCCUUCGGAAAAAAAUAAAUAUUGGGCCACCUGGUAGCACGUCUGCCUUCGGUUCAGGUCAUGAUCUCAGGGUCCUGGGAUGGAGCCCUGCACAUCCCAUUGGGAAUCCCUGCUCAGUCUGCUUCUCCCUCUGCCCUUCCCCCAACUCAUACUCUCUCUUUCUCUCUCCCUCAAAUAAAUAUUUUUUCCAAAAGAAAAAUAAUAAAAGUUCUCACAGAAAAUCUUAGAAAGGGUGUGUGUGUGUGUGUGUGUGUGUGUGUGUGUGUAUUUAUAUGUACCUAGACAUAAAAAAUGCAACAAUCUUGAAAUGGUCAGAUAUCUGCAAAACAUUUCCUAACUCUCUGGGACUUGAUCACUCCUAUUAGAAUUCUUCCAUAAUUCCUUUCAGUUUCUUCUUUUAAAGUACACCACACCAUCACACAUUAGAUUAUACUUGCUGACGUACUGUAAAAUCAUCAACUUCUUCUGGAUUGAAAUUAAGGAUUAGCCUUCUUUGUGUCUGCCCUAGCCUACACCACAGGACUUGGCCCCAAACAAGCCAUCAACCAGCAACUGGAAUAAAGGAAAGCAAAAAAAAAGAAUCCUCAUUAUCUUCAGGAUAUCCUGGAAAAUUAUUUCCAGUUAAUAAAAGUUUCUUCUCAUUAAGAAAACAACAUUUGGCAGUGGGUUUGUCUAAUAAUUUACGUAUGUAUGGUUUAUAUUUCAAAGGAGAUAUCAAAUUUUGUGAACAGUCACGUAACAAUCAUUAAAUGCCAAGCACUAUGCCAGGCACUUAUGCAGAUUUUACCAUUUAAAGUAGGCAUAGGCAAUAUGAAAUACAGGAUGUGUUGUUGCCAUUUUAUAGACAGGGCCAUAGUGUUUAAUUGCACAACAGGACAAAAAGUGAUGGAGUCUGAAUUCCAGUCUGUCUGAUGUCCAGAUCUGUGUUGUUCACCCCUCGUCUACUCUAGGUUUCAUUAGGGGUAUUCGAAGAAGUCCGUGUGUUCACAGACUAUGAGAAGUCAGGCAAGGUGUCAAAUGUGGAUUUUAGGUUCACAGGCAUCUUUCUACGAGUUUGGUUGCCUUUAAGAACUGUAUUUGUGGGAGAAAACACAUCAAGAACUGCCAAGAAUCUGGUUGCCUACAGGUGCCCUCACCUUUGCAAUCCAGAGAAGUGAAAUGAGCAUGGAAAGAAGAUAGUUCAAUAAGUAAGGAUAGAUUCAAUAUGGAAACCAAACUGUUGAUCCAAACAGUCUGAGGAUACUUAAAUAUGCCCCUCCUUCAGCUGCUGACAUGGAGUGGGACCUAGUACCUGAUGACAACAUGGGAGACAGACAUCCUCAGUAUGUGUUUGAUGGAGGAGUGAAUUGUUACAACCCUUUGGAUAAAAAGUAUGCAAUAUAUAUUGAAAUAGGAAGUAUCUGCGAUUCAGUGGUCCCACCACUGGAAAUCUCCUUGUGGAUAUAAAAGUAUUAUAUGAUAAAGAUAUGCACAUAAGGAUGUUUAUUGCUGUGCUAUUGGUUGUGAUAAAAGCCUAGAUCAAUUUACAUGUUGAUCAAUAAUGGAACAAGUGGUUCUAUAGUAGGGUCAUCUAUUCUACGGAGUUAGCUGUUAAAAGACUGAGUUAGGUCUCUGCCUAUUGACCUGGCCAGAUAAUACACUGUAAAGUGAAUAAAGCAAUGGUCUGGUAAUAUGUUAGAAUUCAUGUUAAAAAAGUACACCAAAAAAGCAAACUAGCUAUGUUUUUAUAAGUAUAAAGUUAGAGUGAUACACAACUCAGGCAGUUAAACUGGUUACUGUAAGUGGAGUAAGUGGAGUAGAAAUUGGGAAGUGUAGGAAGAAACUUUCUGUCCAUAUGCUUUUUUUGGAUUAUGUCAUUUGUUACAAUGGCACACACUGCUUUUACAGUAUGAAAGAUUAAUUGAGAAAACACAUAUUCUUCAAGUGAUUUUUCAUAAACAAAGAUGAUUAAUCUUACAGUUUUAACUGCUUUAAGUGGUUAUAAAAAGAAAAAUCCCCAAGAUUGAGUCUUUUUUUUCUAACUCUUCAUCCAGCCUUGAUUUUAUCUGGUGAAGCGCCCAUCUGCCUUCUUUUGGAAUCUAUAUUUCUCACUGAAGUCUUACAAAUGUGCUACAAUAAGUACUACCAACAAAUCCACAUUUACAUGAUAUUGCAUCCCUGUGAUACUUUCUGGCCUCGUACAUAUUGUAGUUUGUGAUUAGUCUCUAAUUAUCGUAUCUCUCUGUUUUAGGCAGAUCCUUGUGUGCAGUGACUGCUUUAUUCCUGUUUUACCCUCAGCAUCC
Molecule: long non-coding RNA, 2724 nt
Filed under: Canis lupus familiaris (dog)
Lineage: Eukaryota; Metazoa; Chordata; Mammalia; Carnivora; Canidae
Description: lncRNA (ENSCAFG00845004683.1)
Source: RNAcentral